UGGACGGGUUAGGAUUGUGUAAAGCAAAUUGUGCACAGCAAAGAUGCAUUUCCUGUCUGCUCAUCGGGGCUUGUGGCGACAGGCAGUACUAAUUCAGGUGCCCUGAGGUAGUGGUCUCAACCCACUGCCUUCUGGCCUCUCCACCUGCUGAGACCCAUGUGACCUUCUACAUCCAAACACUCUAGCCUUUCUUAAGGCUUCCUAGGUAGCCUAUCAUUGAAAUGCUGAUGGGGCUCCCUGGAUAGGCUUUUGUGCGUGUGUGUGUGUGUGUGUGUGUGUGUGUGUGUGUGUGUGUGUGUGUGGUUAGCCCGCUGAGCCCCAGGGAGGCUCAUCUGUGUGUGUGUGUGUGUGUGUGUGUGUGUGUGUGUGUGUGUGUGUGUGUGUGUGUGUGGUUAGCCCGCUGAGCCCCAGGGAGGCUCAUCUCUCUGCCUUCCAGCACUGGGAUCAGAAGUGCACACUAGCAGACUCCCCUUUUUACACCAGUGCUGGGGAUUAAACUCAGGUCCUCACACUUGUAAGGUGAGCGUGUAUCCCCUGAGCUCUCUCUCCAGCCCAAGCAAAUUCUUUUUAACAUGGUCUCCGAUGACGUCUGUGUGUUCUCCACCUAUCCAAGUCCAUAGCAGCCUCCUUUCCCACCCCUCAUCAUCUGUCUCCUCGGUCUCAUUGUAGAAUCUCACGGAAUCUGUCUGCGCUGAAAUCACCACCUCCAGGCACAUUUCCACUAACCCCGUGUCUCCUCCCACCAUUCUCAAUACAGCUAUAAAGCUCUUCCAGCAAUUGUAGCAUAGUAACCCCCAAAUGUCUCAAUGACUCCAAGCAGCAGCCCUCUCAGGACCCACCCCUGAUGGAAUAACCAGAGCGGCAUCUCUCCCAGCUAGGUCCUCUGAGGCUUCAAGCCCACUGUUCCCUGAAUCUCCAAACUCCACACCCCAGCAGUCUACAUCCUGUGGUUUCACCCAGACUACUGCCUCCUUCUGCUCCGGCCUCCUCCUGGAUUAUUUGGAUGCUAGGUGACCCGAUCCUAUAGACAUCCCACGUGUUAUCAUAAUCAUCAUUAGUCUGUGGCAUAUAAUCCAUGAUGAAGACCUCUCAUCCCUUAUCUUUAUGUCCAUCCCCCUGGAAUCCUCUUAUUCAAGUUUAACUCUAAAACACAGGCGUUUACCCUGCCACUGGGUCUGGUUGGUCUGCUCUCUUUUUCCAUAUCCCAGCAAAAUACUGAAGUGAACAUCUUUGUGCCCUUCGGUCAGAGCACAGGCAAUUUAGCAGGGAUUGGCAAAUUCACAAGCUGGGGCAAGGCAAGAAGAUCUGUAAGUGAGGUACCAAGGAAGGUAUAUAUUAGAAGGUGGAAGGCCCCGGGGUGACCAGUCUCAACCCUUUUGCAGUUAGACUGGACUAUGUAUGAAUCACCAGUUUCACUUCCUCAGUGAGGUGUGUGCCUGCAGCCAUUCCAGAAAUACUUCUCUAUAGUUCGGUCCCCAGAGGCAUCGGUCAGUCCCUCCGUAUCUGACAGGGUGCAGGGUGACCUGCUUUCCUCUGCGUUGAGUGGAAGCAGCAGCAGCCCUCAGCCAGCCCAGAGGUGUCAGCUUCUCUUCUCACCCAGCCAGCUGCACGGCACCUGAUGUCAGGUGCUGCCAAGGGCUCUGGCUUCCGGUGAGGUAGACUCCCGGGCUGACUUUCUCACUAAAGAAAGAGGAGGCCUGCCCCGCCUCUGCCCAUGACCCACUCAAAGGCAGCCAGCCAGAGUUUGCCAGGGAGCUGCUGCUGGCGACAUCUUGAUCAUCCUAAGCAUUUGCUAAGUGCCAUCAACACAUUGACUUAAGUGGUAGAGGGACGUGGGACUGAUACGGGCAGAAGAGAAGGCGAACGAACGGGAGGAGAAGGCAGAUGGAGGGAGGUGUGAGAACCAGGCACCUGACUAGACUCUGGUUUCCCCUGCCCUCGCCGCACUGUCCUCCGAUCCAGCCACUCAUCCAUGGACACCUUCAGCCCUUUCCCAGCCUCUACACUCUGCCGGAACCAGCCUGCACAGUCUUCUAAGCCAUUAUUUUCUACCAUGGCCUAGGGGACACAAUCCAGAUGGCUUUGUCUAGCCAGGGCUUUCCGUGGCUGGGCCUCCUAUCCGUCGGCUUCCUUUUCCAUUGCUUCCUGAGGGGGGAAAUGUCUCCUGUGCCCAGCCUGGCUUGUCUUUACCGCCACUCCCUCUGUGCACUGAAGCAGCCGGGCAUGGUUAUUUUGCAAAAGGCAACCUUAGAAUUUUUUCUUCUUGGGGGUUUCACCUGUAAUUAUUCACUGGGUACCACUAUUCAUACAAUUAGAAAAAGGUGAACUUUCUCAGAAACCUUACCUGCUUCCCAGCCUACCCCCUGGUUCCUUCCUUAUAGCAAUCUUGAGCAACAGUGAAGCUUCCUGAAUUCUGCAGAUGAGAACCCAAGGCUUAGAAGAGACUGGUUCCUCCUACGCCGGAAGACUCCUGGGCCAGAGAGCUCCAGUCUCUUUUUGUUCCACGGGUCAAGGUCAUCCAUUCCAUUCUACCUCACUGAAGUGAAAACUAUAUGCACUUGGGAACAUGGACCAUCCUCGCUACUGUGUUUGGCAAACGAUGAGCACAUUAGUGUCUUUGUCUGUACAGGCUCCUGAAACAGGAUCCCAUAAACCUGUGGCCUGUAAACAACAGGAAUCUAUUGCUCACAGGAAGCUGGGAAGUUCAAGGUCAGGAUGCCCACAGAUUUGUGUCUAGUGAAGGUCCAUCAUCUGGUCUAUAGAAAUCCAUCCUCUUGCUUUGUUAACAUGACAGAAGACUGUGGGAGCUCUUGGGAGUCUCUUCUGAGAGCACUGAUCCUGUACACGAAGGCUCCCCACUAUGGUCUAAUCACCACCCUAAAGGCCUGCCUCCUGGUGCCACCACAUUUGGCAUCAGGCUCAACACACCAAUUUAUUGCAGGUGGGCUAUAACUAUUCUCUUAAAAAAAAAAAAAGAGCACUAGGUAAGUAAUUAAGCUUUUGUUUUUGUUUUCAUUUACAGAGUUGUUCUCGUGUGUGUGUGUGUGUGUGUGUGUGUGUGUGUGUGUGUGUGUGUGUGUGUUGCCUGUUAUUGAACCCAUGUCUUCACACCAGUGGGGUAGACAAGUACUCUGAACAACGGCCUCACCUACCCCCUCGAAUUCAGUGUAAGGAUGAAAUGGCCAGGUUAAGGAGAGUGCUCAGUUGGGAGAGUGCUCACUUAGCUUGCCCGAAGCCUCAAGUUCAAUCUUCAGCACCAAAAUGGCCUUAGUGGUAUGGGCCGGCAGUCCUAGCACUUGGGAGGUGGGGGCAGGAGGGGCAGAAGUUCAAGGUCAUCCUGGGCUACGAGUUCAAGACCACCCAGGGUUACAGAAGACCCUGUCUCAAAAAGAUACACUUACUUUCCUCUCCCUCCAUUUGAGAUUUUUAGAAACUGUAUAGGAGCGUUUUUGCCUGCAUGUAUGUCUGUGCACCACGUGUGCUGUGUUUGAGGAGGUCAGAGAAGGGUGUCCGAUUCCCUGGAACUGGAGCUACAGAGAACUGCUAGCCACCGAGUGGGUGCUGGGAACUGAGUACACGUCCUCUGGAGGAGCAGGCAGCUCUCUUAACUGCUGAGUUAUCUCUCCAGACCAACGUUGUCCCUUUGACCGACAGCACAAUGCUAUCCUAGAAAGUGUUUGAUGAGCUUGGGAGAACAAAGACCCAGGGUCUCAUGUUUGCUGGGCAAGUGCUGGACCACUGAGCUACAUCUCCGAACCUACUACAGGCAGCCUUGUAAAAAAUGAAAUAAAGAAAAUACCAGACUGCAUCCAACAUUCUGGACCCAAUGCUGACCUCUGGCUGCCAGGUCCAGCUCAGGCCCUUACCACGCGAAGCAUUCUUGCUUUCUCCUCUCAUUUUCUGUUUCCCGGCUGAGCCCCAGCACAGCUGGGAGGGGAGAGGAAGACAAAGUCUUUCCUGCCCGUGCUUCCCCUGACACACCUGGGGUUGCAGACAGGUUGGCUGCAGAAAACCGCAGCAGGAUAGAGAACUUCGAUUUCCUGCUCUCCAAACAGGGAGUCUUCCCACUCCUGCAUCUCAGCACGGACACUAGAAAGGAAAGGAAAGGAAAGGAAAGAGUGAAAUCAACUGAAGGAGCGAGCAGAUUCUCUCUCCCCUACGCAAAAAUACCAUUACCAAGAUGGAGCUACCAAAGGGCUAAGAUUUGGAGACAGGAACCCAACAUGUGCUUCAGUGUUACGUGGGCUUCUUCCUCCUAUGAAACUGGGAACUCACUGGAAAGUCACAUGAUUGUAUAUAUAUAAGGGAUAUAUAUAUAUAUACAGUUGUAUUGCAUGCAAUACCUUCUCCUCACUCCCUGCCCAAGCUCCCGCCUUGCUCUCAGUGAGUUCUGCUGUUUGGGUUUCCCUCAUCUUUUUUUUUGCCUGUACCUAUUUGAAUCCUACCAAUAAGGAUGAUCUCAAAUUCCUUAUCUUCCAGGAAGCCAACCCACAAAGAGCUCUCAGAAUUUAUAAAGUCCUUAUGGCACUUAAGUAUUUAUGGAUAAUAAAAGGAAUCAUUUGUCCCCUUAUGUGGGACCUCAUGAUCGUAAAUGUUUGUCACUGAGUUCAUAGAUGCCUGGAACCUGGGGGACACCUAGCUCAUCCUCUAUUUUUGCCCCAACGCUGAGUAUAUAAUAGGAUCUCAGCACUGAGCUCUGAGCUCUAACAUCAAUCUGACGGGAAACCUGGAUUCAGUUGUUGGGGACCUUUAGAAGGCUUUUAACUCACUUGUCAAAGGAGCCAUGGCAGCUAUCACUUAAGGAAAUCACAGAGAUUAAAUGAAUUGUUUAAUUAAUUGUUUCAUGCAGAGUAAACUUUGAUUACUUUUACUCUAAAGUGAUAAGAUGAAGAGGACAUUAUCUUUUAAUUUGUUUAUUUCUGUUUUUAAAUUUGAUUUUAGAGUUCUCCAUCUCCUUCUGAAUUUUAUUUCAUUUAAGUUUUAAUUUUGCAGUGGCUCCUAAGUCAGAACAAAAGUCUUCAUCCACUUUAUCCUUUUCAUCCUGUCUUGGCCACGCCCUGCAGGUAGCUAAUCUCAUUAGUCUACGCUUUUUUUUUUUUCCUUCUAUUUCUGUUCCUUUUUCCUUGAACAAAUAGGUACAGGCUCUCACUUCUUCCCCUAGGAGGUAUUCUUGAGGUAGUUUCUUUCAAGACUAGUUUUUCAGGAUUGUCUCACCACCACCACCACCACCACCACCAUCACUACCACCACCACCACCAUCACCACCACCACCUCCACUACAUCCUGUGUCUGCUGGCUGGGAGGAGCUGGACAAGGAAGAGCCCAUAACAAAGGGAUUUGUUAUGUGUUACUCCCCACUGGAGUUAGUCAUAGUGACAAGGAAAUGACAUUUUUUCCCCCAGGGCUAGCUCACUUCCAAUUACAGGCCUGAGACCUAAAAGUGUAGUCCUGUGAUCGGUCCUGCAGCCGGAGCUCAAUCCCAGCUACUCAGGAGGAGGCUGGGGCUGAGGAAACAUCCACAACCAAGCUCUGGCCUGCUCAUUCUCCUGGAGGUGGACACAGUGCCAACACACACUGGCUUCUGAAAAGCCACCAGUAAGACCUCUGCCAGCACAUGCAGCAUCCAUGAGACCUGUACCCGUGGCAGGAAAACCACACUCUGUGCCUGUGCUGGCUAGUGUCAUGUCAACUUGACACAAGCUGAAGUCAUCUGAGAGGAGCGAACCUCAAUUAAGAAAAUGUCUCCAUAAGUUCAGGCUGUAGGCAAGCCUGUAGGGCCUUUUCAUAAUUAAUGAUUGAUGAGAGAGGUCCCAGACCGUUGUGGGUGGUGCCAUCCCUAGGCUGGUGGUCCUGGGUUUUAUAAGAAAGCAGGAUGAGCAAGUCAUGUUGAACAAGCCAGUAAGCAGCACCCCUCCAUGGCCUCUGCAUCCAACUCCUGCCUCCAGGUUCCUGCCCUCACUGCUUUUGAUGAUGAUGAACUGUUCUAUGGAACUGUGAGCGAAGCAAACGCUUUCCUCCCCAAGUUGCAUUUGGUCAUGGUGUUUCAUCACAGCAUAGUAACCCUGAGACAGUGCCUCUACCCGUUUUCCCUAUGAGCUUUGAGGAUUGAAGAUGGGCAAUCCUCUGGAUCCUUAUGGUCCCAUUUCAAGGGGUACGUGACAUGUCUAGGGAAGCUCGUUUAAGUUAUAGGGAGUUGGCCAAAGCAGUGGAGUGCCGCCGAUGGAGGUGUUUGUUGGAAAAAAAGCAGGAGCAGGGAAGAUUCUUGCCUUGGGGUCAAGCUGUCCACAGUGGUUCGGAGGCUGUGACUCACUGAGGAAAAGGAGUGCCCUGUGUCCUAGGAGAGGCUGCUUUCUCCAAACAGGAGUUCUUUGGCCGAGGAAGGAAAUGAGGCAAUCUUAAGAUUAAUCAGCGGCCACCAGUCAGACAGAUCUAGAAGUCCAAGCCAUGCCCAGCUACUUCUGCUUAAUAGUCGGCCUUUGCCCCCUAGGUAUCAGGUCACUAAUAUGCCAUCGUGUUCUAGUGAGAAAGGGAAUGGAGCCUCUCCUUGGGCAAGUAGCUCCUUCUCUCUGGGCCUUAACUCUUCUAUUAAAUGAGGAGAUAAUUGGUAACCAGUGAUACAACUCAGCCACGGCCAUCUUUCUUUCUUUCUCUCUUCCUUCCUUCCUUUCUUUUUUGAAUUAAAAAUUGUUGGUUUAAUAUAUUUUGAUCAUAUUCUUUCUCUCCUCAACUCCUCCAAAAUCCUCCCCAAGUUUUAAAAAUAAUUUCAUAGUUUUUUUUUUUUUAAUUGCCUAUAUGUAUAUGUAUGUACCUUGUGUGUGCCUAGUGUCCCAGAGGGCCAGAAGAGGGCAUCAGAUCCCCUGGGACUGGAGUUACAGAUGGGUUGUGGGUUGUAAGCUGCCAUGUGGGUGCUGGGAGUCAAACCUGGGUCCUCUGGAAGAACAGCCAGUGCUCUUAACCGCUGAGCCAUCUCUGCAGCCACCCCCACCCCCCCCAGCCACAUUUCUUGUCACUCAGAGUUAGAAAAACAAUAGGAUUGAGACAUUUCUUCACAAGACUCACUUCAACAUAGCUGCCGCCAUCUUACUCUAAGACAGCUUCACAGUUUAGGGCCCCCACCUGCCCUUUGAAGUUCUUUGAAAUGCCAGCUUGUAGACUUACAGCAACGGAGCCCCUCCCACUGCGGAGCCUCUAGGGAGUCUAUGCCUCAGAGAAACAGAUUCUGAACUGGGAAUGGAGACAGUGAGCAGCCUGCACUGGGCUGAGAGUGAGAUGAGCCUUCAGUCCAGGAUCCUAGAUGGGGGAGCGUGGCAGGAUGCCAGGGCCGGGCAUCUGCCAGGCUUAGGGAGAACUCAAAACAACCUUUUUACCCAACCUCCUUGUGCAUCCUGUUUCUCUGGUGCUGCUGCUGCUGCCAGCAAGUGGGCACCAUGCCCAAGCUUCAGUGGGCAGUGAGGGGGCUAGGUGCCCAUCUGCCCUGCUGGCUAAACCAGUGGCUAGGCAAAAUGGUGCCUGAGCUCAGACUGCCCUCUGCUGGGGAGUUCUAGAAUGAGGCGCGGAUGGAGCCCAGAUGUGAGCCCAGAUGUGGGCUUCUGCUUUCCGGCCACCUCCCAAGGAAGACUUGGACCUCUCCUGGUGGUGUUAGUAUCUAUGGUGGGUCCUCAGACGCAGGCCCAUAGGCUCCAUGACAGCAUGCUUAGUCAACACAGAGCCGCCCCAAGCCGUCUCAGGUGUCACA
Molecule: long non-coding RNA, 7735 nt
Organism: Peromyscus californicus insignis
Lineage: Eukaryota; Metazoa; Chordata; Mammalia; Rodentia; Cricetidae
Exons: 4
Source: RefSeq, a predicted model, not a curated record